This 379-nucleotide ribosomal RNA is filed under the name uncultured eukaryote. RNAcentral's name for it is "partial 18S ribosomal RNA". It matches the Rfam family "Eukaryotic small subunit ribosomal RNA", at positions 592 to 976 of the family's 1831-position model. The record is from RNAcentral.
CAAUAGCGUAUAUUAAAGUUGUUGCGGUAAAAAAGCUCGUAGUUGGAUUUCUGUUGAGAGCGACCGGUCCAUACCAUGUAUGCGUAUCUGGCUUGCUCUCGGCAUCCUCUCGAUAGACGUUACUGCGCUUGAUUGCGUGGUGCGGAUCUCGGGACUUUUACUCUGAGGAAAUUAGAGUGUUCACGGCAGGCUUUCGCCAGAAUACAUUAGCAUGGAAUAAUACUAUAGGAUCUUGGUUCUAUUUUGUUGGUUUCUAGAAUUGAGAUAAUGAUUAAUAGGGACAAUUGGGGGCAUUCGUAUCAACACGUCAGAGGUGGAAUUCUUGGAUUGUGUUGCGACGAACUACUGCGAAAGCAUUUGCCAAGGAUGUUUUCAUUGA